This 484-nucleotide ribosomal RNA is filed under the name uncultured bacterium. RNAcentral's name for it is "partial 16S ribosomal RNA". It matches the Rfam family "Bacterial small subunit ribosomal RNA", at positions 30 to 507 of the family's 1533-position model. The record is from RNAcentral.
AUUGAACGCUAGCGGGAUGCUUUACACAUGCAAGUCGAACGGCAGCGCGGACUUCGGUCUGGCUGCGAGUGGCGAACGGGUGAGUAAGGUAUCGGAACGUGCGCAGUAGCGGGGUAUAACUACGCGAAAGCGUAGCUAAUACCGCAUACGCCCUACGGGGGUAAGCAUGGGAUCGUAAGACCUUGCACUAUUGGAGCGGUCGAUAUCGGAUUAGCUAGUUGGUGAGGUAACGGCUCACCAAGGCGACGAUCCGUAGCUGGUUUGAGAGGACGACCAGCCACACUGGAACUGAGACACGGCCCAGACUCCUACGGGAGGCAGCAGUGGGGAAUUUUGGACAAUGGGGGCAACCCUGAUCCAGCCAUACCGCGUGUGCGAUGAAGGCCUUCGGGUUGUAAAGCACUUUUGGCAGGAAAGAAAAGUAGCGGGCUAAUACCCCGUGGAACUGACGGUACCUGCAGAAUAAGCACCGGCUAACUACGUG